RNAcentral lists this ribosomal RNA (499 nucleotides) under uncultured bacterium. RNAcentral describes it as "partial 16S ribosomal RNA". It matches the Rfam family "Bacterial small subunit ribosomal RNA", at positions 28 to 507 of the family's 1533-position model. The record is from RNAcentral.
GACGAACGCUGGCGGCGUGCCUAAUACAUGCAAGUCGAGCGGACUGACUGGGAGCUUGCUCUUGUUCGGUCAGCGGCGGACGGGUGAGUAACACGUGGGCAACCUGCCCGCAAGACCGGGAUAACUCCGGGAAACCGGAGCUAAUACCGGAUAACACCGAAGACCGCAUGGUCUUUGGUUGAAAGGCGGCGCAAGCUGCCACUUGCGGAUGGGCCCGCGGCGCAUUAGCUAGUUGGUGAGGUAACGGCUCACCAAGGCGACGAUGCGUAGCCGGCCUGAGAGGGGGACCGGCCACACUGGGACUGAGACACGGCCCAGACUCCUACGGGAGGCAGCAGUAGGGAAUCUUCCGCAAGGGGCGAAAGCCUGACGGAGCGACGCCGCGUGAGCGAAGAAGGCCUUCGGGUCGUAAAGCUCUGUUGUGAGGGACGAAGGAGCGCCGUUUGAAGAAGGCGGCGCGGUGACGGUACCUCACGAGGAAGCCCCGGCUAACUACGUG